AAGGGUUUUAGGGAGGAGUUAGACAGCUGCUGGGAGCCUUUUCAGACAAGAAGAAAUUUGCCUGGAUUUACCAGAGUUUAGGAAACUCAGGAAACCUAAGUGUAAGUGUAACCCACACAUGAGCUCCUUCCAGGAAUGGAAGAGUGGCAAGGAGAGAUUAUAAAUGAGCACAGGAAACUUUUGGAGGUACUGGAGAUAUUCUCUGUUUUCACUGUCAUGAGUGUUUCAAAAUUGUAGAGAACAUCUCCCAAGCCCUGUUCUUACUCAAGGAAUUGCUCCUCUCCCAACUCUACUGUGGUUCCUGAUAGAACUGUGAUGGCUUUGCAUUAUGUUCAACAUUCCAGACAAAACUGCUGAAGUGUGCCAAACCAAGGAGUUCCUUUCUUUAAGGAUUCUGGAAUCAGGAGAGAGAAAAUCAGAACAAUCUUUCCAGGUAGAAACAAUUGCAUAAUGGGGAAAAAAUGAGAUGCAAUGGGACCUGCAUUUUCAACCUGAGAAAGGCAGCUUGUAUGCAUCAGGAGAGCUGCAUAAAGCUUGAUGCUAAUAUGCAGCAAGAGCCAAAGAUGAGAGAGCGAGAGAAAUUGCUUCUGACAACGUUCAAGUCUCUGUUUCCAGACACUUAACCUCUCUGAGCCUUUAUAAAAUGUGAAGGCAGGGGAGAGAAAUAAUUGCAUCUUAGAAGGCUGUGUGCCCAUCACUGUUGAAGAGAGAAAGGGCUUCAGCCAGCCAACAAUGGCCAAGCAACACUGAGAGUGGACUGUCCUUCUUUUAUUCACAUCUGGACCUGAGCAGGAAAGAGCAAUACCAGAUGAAGAAAUCUAGUUUGUUCUGUGCUUGACUUCUAAACAGCUUCUGUGACCUGGCCAUGGGUGUUAUGACCUUUCAGCUGAUAAACAGGUAAGUCUCUAUCAUCUCACACGUUUCCCUCUUGUUUUAAACAAAAUGGCAUGCUAAAUUUUCACAAAUGUCUUCCAUAGUUUUGGGUACCAUAAGGGGUGUCAUGAACCAUUUCUCAGGCCCUUCUUGCUAGAUAGUCUUCUCAUGCACACUCUCUUCUCAUAGAGCUAACAGAUCUGGCUUAGCCAAGGUGGUUUUCCUUGAUCAUACAGACUACACAGCUCUUCACUGAGGAAGCACAGUUGCAUUGGUGAGUUAAAACAAAAGGAUGGCCAGAUGGAAACAGCCCUUCAAAUUUCCUUUACUUAUGUUUUUAGAUCUUGCUCUGAGGUACGCCUCUACCAUUGCCUUUUUAUCUGCUGUGCUCUAUAAAUCAGGAUUUUUGCAUAUACUGUAUGAUACAUUCUGACACUCUCCAUUUUAUUUUCUUAAAAGAAAGCAAGUGUGCCCCCGCCCAAAUUAAUGUUAAUAUCUCCUAAUGGAUUCCAAGCUGGCAUGCCCACAAAGCUCCUUCCAACUGGGAUUUGCAUUAAAUGAGUUCCCUGUGUCCAGAGUCACAAAACUGCUUCUGACAGAUGAGAAGGGACAUGUUUUAUUUCAGCUCUACAUAGUUGGCCAACUUAAAGUUAAAAAAAUGAAAACAAAGAACUUCUCCAAAAACUUUCAAUGAUAACGUGUACAUGUUAUGACUUUUGCCUCCUUGUGCAGAAAGAGAUCAGGGGAUUAAUACAAGGCUGGGUAACACAGGGUCUCUAGUCUCACAAAGCUGUGAUGUCUGAGCUUGCUCCCUCCAUUGAGUACCAUUCUAAAAAUAUAACUUUCAGAUCAUGAAUCAAUUCAAAACCCUCACAGGCUCACCCCUGGUCUCCAAGUCCUUCCACACGUCAAGCGAUCCACCCAGACUCCGUUUGCACCACAGGUUCUGCAAGUACAACCAGCACUCCUUUUGAUAAAUGCCCUUUGCCAAGAUGCAGGUCAGUGUAAUUUCCCAAAAGGUUAGGAGUGACUGCUCAGAGAGGACUCGCUUAUUAUUUUAAAUGCCACCUAACCCAUUCUCCAAGGUUUACGGAGUUAUUUACAAUUUGAUUCCAUCACACCCGCCUGUUUGUCUGACCUGCCUCCCACCUCCUCUCAUCACUAUCACUAAAAGCCUUGAAACAGGAUUCAAUGGUCAAGAGUCCUGCCCUUCUGAGCCAGGGCGGUGUCUCACUGAAGAGAAGGAAGUCACCCUAAUGGGCAAUUUUUCCUCUAAGUCAUGCUUUAAAGUCAUCGAUAAAAUCCACCUAUUUCGAGGCAUGCAGGAUUGAUUGUAUCCAUGUGGCUGCAAAUGUUUAGUCCAUUUUCAAUUUGUUCAGCCAGAUUAAAACCCCAAUACUAAUGCGUUACACUAACAAGCUAGCAAGCUUCAAAAAGUCCUCAUUUCUCCCCUCUAUGCUGUUGUUGUGUUGAUUUGAGUGGAUAAUUUUAGCUAAGUGUACUUUUAAGGAACAAAUAUUCAUAGUAUAAACCUGUUUGAAUAAUAAUAAAAAGGGUAAUAGUAGUAACAUAAAGAUGAUCCAUUUAAUGUCUACUGUGUGCCAACAAUGAUGCAUGGAAUUCAGCCACUUAUUACAUAUAACUAUAUAUACAUAUAUGCAUAUAGAGUUUUUAACAUGAUUUAUAUAGAGCUUUUAUAUGUGUAUGUAUGUGCUUAACUCAUACCAUCUCUAUAGAUUAUAUAUAAGAGCAUUAUUCUUGAUGAAUAAGAAAGGUGAUA
Molecule: long non-coding RNA, 2653 nt
Organism: Cavia porcellus (domestic guinea pig)
Lineage: Eukaryota; Metazoa; Chordata; Mammalia; Rodentia; Caviidae
Exons: 3
Source: RefSeq, a predicted model, not a curated record